RNAcentral lists this ribosomal RNA (497 nucleotides) under uncultured bacterium. RNAcentral describes it as "partial 16S ribosomal RNA". It matches the Rfam family "Bacterial small subunit ribosomal RNA", at positions 28 to 507 of the family's 1533-position model. The record is from RNAcentral.
GACGAACGCUGGCGGCGUGCCUAAUACAUGCAAGUCGAGCGAAAAGACGAGGAGCUUGCUCCUCUGUCGUUAGCGGCGGACGGGAGAGUCACAUGUGUAUAACCCCCCUAUAAGACGGGGAUAACCUCGGGACACCGGAUCUUAUACCGUAUAAUAUACUGAACCGCAUUGUUCAAUAGUGAAAUACGGUUUUGCUGUCACUUAUCGAUGCAUCCGCGCCGCAUUAGCUAGUUGGUAGGUUCACGGCUUACCAAGGCAACGAUGCGUAGCCGACCUGAGAGGGUGGUCGGCGGCACGGGAACGGAGACAGGGACCAGGCGCCUGCGGGAGGCAGCAGUAGGGAAUCUUACGCAGUAGGCGAGAGCCUGACGGAGCGGCGCCGCGUGAGAGAUAGAGGUCUUCGGAUCGUAAUGCUCUGUUAUUAGGGGAGAACAGAUGUGUAAGUAACUGUGCACGUCUUGACGGUACCUGGUCAAAAAGCCACGGCUAACUACGUG